GACGUAGGAUGCGAGCGUUGUCCGGAUUUAUUGGGCGUAAAGAGUUCGUAGGUGGUUUGUCAAGUCCGAUGUUAAAUCCCGAGGCCCAACCUCGGAGGUGCAUUGGAUACUGGCAGACUGGAGUGCAGUAGAGGCAAGCGGAAUUCCCAGUGUAGCGGUGAAAUGCGUAGAUAUUGGGAAGAACACCAGUGGCGUAAGCGGCUUGCUGGGCUGUAACUGACACUGAGGAACGAAAGCCAGGGGAGCGAAUGGG
This 253-nucleotide ribosomal RNA is filed under the name uncultured bacterium. Its description in RNAcentral is "partial 16S ribosomal RNA". It matches the Rfam family "Bacterial small subunit ribosomal RNA", at positions 524 to 776 of the family's 1533-position model. The record is from RNAcentral.